ACGGGUGAGUAACGCGUGGGAAUCUACCGUACCCUACGGAAUAGCUCUGGGAAACUGGAAGUAAUACCGUAUACGCCCUAACGGGGAAAGAUUUAUCGGGGUAUGAUGAGCCCGCGUUGGAUUAGCUAGUUGGUGGGGUAAAGGCCUACCAAGGCGACGAUCCAUAGCUGGUCUGAGAGGAUGAUCAGCCACAUUGGGACUGAGACACGGCCCAAACUCCUACGGGAGGCAGCAGUGGGGAAUAUUGGACAAUGGGCGCAAGCCUGAUCCAGCCAUGCCGCGUGAGUGAUGAAGGUCUUAGGAUUGUAAAGCUCUUUCAACGGUGAAGAUAAUGACGGUAACCGUAGAAGAAGCCCCGGCUAACUUCGUGCCAGCAGCCGCGGUAAUACGAAGGGGGCUAGCGUUGUUCGGAAUUACUGGGCGUAAAGCGCACGUAGGCGGGUAUUUAAGUCAGGGGCGAAAUCCCGCAGCUCAACUGCGGAACUGCCUUUGAUACUGGGUAUCUUGAGUAUGGAAGAGGUAAGUGGAAUUGCGAGU
This 537-nucleotide ribosomal RNA is filed under the name uncultured bacterium. RNAcentral describes it as "bacterial SSU rRNA". It matches the Rfam family "Bacterial small subunit ribosomal RNA", at positions 102 to 674 of the family's 1533-position model. The record is from RNAcentral.